AUUGAACGCUGGCGGCAGGCUUAACACAUGCAAGUCGAGCGGGGUGAUGGUGCUUGCACUAUCACUUAGUGGCGGACGGGUGAGUAAUGCUUAGGAAUCUGCCUAUUAGUGGGGGACAACAUCUCGAAAGGGAUGCUAAUACCGCAUACGUCCUACGGGAGAAAGCAGGGGAUCACUUGUGACCUUGCGCUAAGAGAUGAGCCUAAGUCGGAUUAGCUAGUUGGUGGGGUAAAGGCCUACCAAGGCGACGAUCUGUAGCGGGUCUGAGAGGAUGAUCCGCCACACUGGGACUGAGACACGGCCCAGACUCCUACGGGAGGCAGCAGCGGGGAAUAUUGGACAAUGGGGGGAACCCUGAUCCAGCCAUGCCGCGUGUGUGAAGAAGGCCUUAUGGUUGUAAAGCACUUUAAGCGAGGAGGAGGCUUACCUAGUUAAUACCUGGGAUAAGUGGACGUUACUCGCAGAAUAAGCACCGGCUAACUCUGUGCCAGCCGCCGCAGUAA
RNAcentral lists this ribosomal RNA (503 nucleotides) under uncultured bacterium. RNAcentral's name for it is "partial 16S ribosomal RNA". It matches the Rfam family "Bacterial small subunit ribosomal RNA", at positions 30 to 523 of the family's 1533-position model. The record is from RNAcentral.